Molecule: ribosomal RNA, 497 nt
Filed under: uncultured bacterium
Lineage: Bacteria
Description: partial 16S ribosomal RNA
Rfam family: Bacterial small subunit ribosomal RNA
Source: RNAcentral
GAUGAACGCUGGCGGCGUGCCUAAUACAUGCAAGUCGAGCGAACAGACGAGGAGCUUGCUCCUUUGACGUUAGCGGCGGACGGGUGAGUAACACGUGGGUAACCUACCUAUAAGACUGGGAUAACUUCGGGAAACCGGAGCUAAUACCGGAUAAUAUUUCGAACCGCAUGGUUCGAUAGUGAAAGAUGGCUUUGCUAUCACUUAUAGAUGGACCUGCGCCGUAUUAGCUAGUUGGUAAGGUAACGGCUUACCAAGGCAACGAUACGUAGCCGACCUGAGAGGGUGGUCGGCCACCCUGGAACUGAGACACGGUCCAGACUCCUACGGGAGGCAGCAGUAGGGAAUCUUCCGCAAUGGGCGAAAGCCUGACGGAGCAACGCAGCGUGAGUGAUGAAGGUCUUCGGAUCGUAAAACUCUGUUAUUAGGGAAGAACAAACGUGUAAGUAACUGUGCACGUCUUGACGGUACCUAAUCAGAAAGCCACGGCUAACUACGUG